RNAcentral lists this ribosomal RNA (443 nucleotides) under uncultured bacterium. RNAcentral describes it as "partial 16S ribosomal RNA". It matches the Rfam family "Bacterial small subunit ribosomal RNA", at positions 338 to 795 of the family's 1533-position model. The record is from RNAcentral.
CCUACGGGUGGCAGCAGUGGGGAAUAUUCGGCAAUGGGCGCAAGCCUGACCCAGCAACGCCGCGUGAAGGAAGAAGGCUUUCGGGUUGUAAACUUCUUUUCUCAGGGACGAAGAAAGUGACGGUACCUGAGGAAUAAGCCACGGCUAACUACGUGCCAGCAGCCGCGGUAAUACGUAGGUGGCAAGCGUUAUACGGAUUUACUGGGUGUAAAGGGCGUGUAGGCGGGGAAGCAAGUCAGAUGUGAAAGCCACGGGCUCAACCUGUGGCCUGCAUUUGAAACUGUUUUUCUUGAGUGCUGGAGAGGCAGACGGAAUUCCUAGUGUAGCGGUGAAAUGCGUAGAUAGUAGGAGGAACACCAGUGGCGAAGGCGGUCUGCUGGACAGCAACUGACGCUGAGGCGCGAAAGCGUGGGGAGCAAACAGGAUUAGAUACCCCAGUAGUC